GCGGGGAGGUGCAGGGAAAAAAAGGCACUAUGGGAUGUCAACAGUUUAGAAGGAACCCGGGGAUCGCCACGUAGAUAGGAAAAAUCGAAGAAGGUUAAUUCCGGGAGGCAGCAGCAGCAGGUAUCUUUUUAGUGCUGAAAUGGACACACUAAUUGUGAACCAUGCGGUGAACAAACCUUGCAAGACACAAUGCCAGCUCGAGAUCCAGCCCAGCACGUAACAGCAGCACUGAAGCAGCCCCCACCACUAGGCAAGGGACAGAAAGGAGAUGGUGACCUGCAAGGGGAUGAGAGACCUCUCUUACCAGCAUUUGCUCACAGUUUUGCUUCUGGCAACUAACAUUUCCAUUUUUCUCAAAGCUUCUACAUCUGUGUCAUCAGACAAAGCCCCAUGAGUGGUGGCAGAGCAAACUGUAGCCUUCAUGUUCAAGUUUGAAGAGAAAAAGUUAUUUACAUGUCUAAGUCCCAGAACCAGCUGCUCAGAGGUCACUCUUUGUUGCCCACUGCUAUGAACCUUUUAGGCUUCCGAAAGCUCUAAAAGAAACGGGACAUAUUAUGGGGCAGAAAAGUCUUACUGUUUUAAAUUUGUUUAAAUUCUAUUUCAUUGUAUUAUAUGAUUUUUGUCCUACCAGAAGAACAUGGAAGAUGGGAUGUUUCUGUCAUUAUUUGCAUGAAUGACUAUUUAAAUUGACUGUCAGACCUUGCAGGACAAAUCUUUGGCCCUUCUUAAGAUUGUUUUAAACUGAAGGAGGUUAUCUUUUAAUGGAUUAGGACUUUAGACUAUUUUUAAAGGAAAAUUAUUGAUUGAUGCAAUGACUUUUACUGUUUUGUCACCUUUCCUUCUCAGUAUUUAUGUAUGUUUUUUGUUACAAAUUUAGGUAAAUGUUUAACUAUGUGUUUUAAUGUUUUCCUGUCUUUUUUUUUCCUUUUCUAUUCUAGAAAUGUUUUCCAGAAUCAAACCCUUGAAUUUAGUGACAAUUAGUACAAUUUCCAGACAUAUCAGUGAGAGUUUCUGUACUAAGUGUGGGAAUGUAGAUGUUAAGAGGAAGCACAAAUAAUGACUUUCUUUUUCCAUUCACAGAGGAAGCACUAAGACAUCAAGCUUAUUCAACAGAAAUGAAUAAAUGCAGCCUGGAAAGUUAUUAUUUUUCCAAACUGUGAAAGGAUCUCUGAAAUAAUAAAGAUAACAUAAAACAAAAA
Parus major (Great Tit) is the source of this 1199-nucleotide long non-coding RNA. RefSeq lists it as uncharacterized. Lineage: Eukaryota; Metazoa; Chordata; Aves; Passeriformes; Paridae. The transcript has 3 exons. The record is from RefSeq and is a predicted model, not a curated record.